AGUCCCACAACGAGCGCAACCCUUGUCCUUAGUUGCCAGUUUGUUUACAAACGCACUCUAAGGAGACUGCCGCAGAUAAUGCGGAGGAAGGUGGGGAUGACGUCAAAUCAUUAUGCCCCUUACGUCCCGGGCUACACACGUGCUACAAUGGCCUGUACAGAGGGUUGCGAAAGAGCAAUCUCUAGCCAAUCCCUUAAAACAGGCCCAAGUUCGGAUUGGAGGCUGCAACUCGCCUCCAUGAAGUUGGAAUCGCUAGUAAUCGCGGAUCAGCAUCCGCGGUG
RNAcentral lists this ribosomal RNA (281 nucleotides) under uncultured bacterium. RNAcentral describes it as "partial 16S ribosomal RNA". It matches the Rfam family "Bacterial small subunit ribosomal RNA", at positions 1083 to 1364 of the family's 1533-position model. The record is from RNAcentral.